AACGAACGCUGGCGGCAUGCCUAACACAUGCAAGUCGAACGAGAUCUUCGGGUCUAGUGGCGCACGGGUGCGUAACGCGUGGGAAUCUGCCCUUUGGUUCGGAAUAACAGUUGGAAACGACUGCUAAUCCCGGAUGAUGACGAAAGUCCAAAGAUUUAUCGCCAGAGGAUGAGCCCGCGUAGGAUAAGCUAGUUGGGGUGGUAAAGGCGCACCAAGGCGACGAUCCUUAGCUGGUCUGAGAGGAUGAUCAGCCACACUGGGACUGAGACACGGCCCAGACUCCUACGGGAGGCAGCAGUGGGGAAUAUUGGACAAUGGGCGAAAGCCUGAUCCAGCAAUGCCGCGUGAGUGAUGAAGGCCUUAGGGUUGUAAAGCUCUUUUACCCGGGAUGAUAAUGACAGUACCGGGAGAAUAAGCUCCGGCUAACUCCGUGCCAGCCGCCGCGGUAA
Molecule: ribosomal RNA, 449 nt
Filed under: uncultured bacterium
Lineage: Bacteria
Description: partial 16S ribosomal RNA
Rfam family: Bacterial small subunit ribosomal RNA
Source: RNAcentral